GUAUUUAAAUUGAUUCACUGCUCACCAUUGGUCUCAUCACAGUUUCUACAUCAUUUAUUGCCCACUUUCUAUCAUUAAGUACAAGGAGGGUCCAUAGUACUCCUAUUCCAUGAAUUCUUUCCUAUGGAAAGUUUUCAGUUGAUUGUCUGCCUCCAAGAUUAGACUGAGUGGGCAUUGUUCUUAGGUCUUAUUUUACCUCGUUUUUAGAGGUGACGAACUGGUUACCAACCAGCCAGGCCAGCUAACUUUGGCAGAGGUCAUCGAGAGGACAUGACCGCGGGUCCACCCUUAAGCUGGACGCGGGCAACCAGAGGCUCCUCCCUUGUCUUUGGAAUGUACAUUCUGCCCACCAUUAUCACACUGUUUCAAGGACGUACGCUUGAGAGAGUGUGUUGCUGUUGAGGCUAUUUGGUCUGAAUACGUGACUAUAGCCGGUUAAGGCCUCUGUAUAAACUUAAGAUUCUGACAGCAGGUGCAGAGAUGUACACGGCUUCUCUUGCAGUUACUGAAGACAAGUCUUGUAAAAUCCUUCCUUUUCUGAUUCUUUGGCUUGGUUGUUGUCUUUCGGCUCGACACCCACCAAGAGGCGAACCCAGUUUCAGAUAACAGAGCUCUGCAUGUGACAUCUCCUAUCAUGCAGGACCUUUGAUGCACAGGUUACAUUUCUGUGUAGUAAUAUCACCAGGCUUAUGCUGACCACAAAUGCUACUUUUCAAUAAGAAGCUUCUCCUGACUCCAAGCAAGGCCCCUAUCCCUUUCCUUGGAUCAUAUAAGGUUCAUGCUGCCUCACUUAAUUUCAUGUCUGUGUGGAUUCCAGGCCAAAUUAGGAAUCUAAGUGCUCCUUCUUACCAUCUCCUCUAAGCCUUCUGAACUAGGUGUCAAGAUCAGAGAGAAUCUCAUAGGAUUCAUUCACUUCUUCGAAUGUGGUUUAAAGGACAAGUGAAUCCUGCAACAGCUGAUCUUUAAGGAAGACUUGUCUUUUUCAAAUGAAGAAAAGUCACAUAAGGACACAGGGAGAAGUCAGCUGUCUGCAAGCCAGGAAGAGCUUCACUAGACACUAACCCUGAUGGCACCUUGAUCUUGAACUUCCAGCCCCCAGAACUUGGAGGGAAACUUGGCUUCAGAUUAUUCCACUAAUUCAAAGAGGAUGUCUUCACUGCUAAGAGAAACAAUGAGCUAUGUUAUUCACAUUCCCAAAUUUAUUGGACUUUUCUCUGGCAUCCAUCUCUACAUCACUCACGGCUAACAGAGGGAGCGAUGAGGUAACACUAGCACCUUUUAUCCAUAUUUACUGGUUCAUAGAGAACCUACUGGUGUCUCUCCCUCAGAAAAUUUUAUUUUUUCAUAUUUUGCUCUAACCAUCUAUGUCUCUGAAGAAAGAAAAAGACAUUGGGAAAAAAGCUAUAGUGUGGAAAAUUUCUUUUAGAAACCACACAUGUCAAAAUAUGAUUAUCUUUAGAUUGGCAUAUGUGUAUUAAAGAAAGUUUUUUAAGGUUUUAACCUUUUGCUUUUCAUUGGUUUGUUUGGAAUUUUGAGGGAUUUGGGUCAGCAACUGCAUAAAACCCAGCUGAGAUAGAAUGGUUCUCAAAAAUGAUUAAAUUAUACUACGUCCUUUCUUAGUUUUAAUCAUUUCUAUUAAUCAUUGAUUCAUUUAGUUCAUUUUGUUAUUAUUGAAUUGGGAUUUCAAGUAUAGAGCUUUUCAUCUUUAACUUUAUUCUUCCUUCUGAGGUUGAAAAACAUAUGCAUUUGUGUGUAUAUACUUACAUACAUGUAGAGAUUAAAUAGAAUAUGCAUAUAACAAUUUUCCACUUAGAGUCAGUUAUUCUAAUAUACUUAAUAGAUAGGAUUUUUUAUUUGUGUUCUUGAAAAUUUGGUAUGUUUAUUUUGUAUAUAUAUAUAUUUUUAAUUUAUAGAAAUUAGGUCAUGUUUUCUAUCUCAUUCUUCAUUUUCUUUUAUUGACAUUACAUUUAAAAAUGAUACAUCCAUAUUUUUUAUUUUUAUGAUUACAUUUAGUUCAUUGACAUGAACUUCUUCAUAAUUCUCCACAUUGUAUCCAUGAUACCUUACUUAUACAGCCUUCUGAUGAUGGGGAGAAGAUUGGUUGCCUCCAAAUCCUUGACAUCAAAUAUGAUGUGGCAGUGAACAUUCCACCAUGUGUCUACUUAGGUACCUAUUUGAGAAUUUGUUUGAGUCUGUACCCAGGAGCAGAAUUUCUGAGUUAAGUGGUAUAUACAUAUUCAAUUAAGUUCCCAAAGAGUGCUCUCUAGAAUGGUCACACAAGCCUUUAUUCCCAACAGUAGUGCAUCACAGCUCCUAUCUUCUACAGUUCUGCCAACAAGUCAUUAUUCUAAGAAAUUCCUAAACAAAAGGCAACUGUUUAAACAAAAUGAGAGUAUAUGUAUCAGAAAUACAGAUGUUUAAUUCACAAUCCUUUUUUAAUUUGAAGCAAUAAAUACCUGAAAAUACCUUAUAAAAGAUAAACUCACUAACUGCAACAUGAGAAUUUCUAUCAAUUCAAAUUAUGCUAUUUAUUCUAGAUAUUGAGGGGCAGACUUAAUCAUUUAUGUUUACAUAGGUGUAGAGGAGUGGGAAAAUGUAAACAAGAUGACACAGAGAAGAUCCUAGAGUUAUAAUACAGCAAUAAGAAAUAUUUUGAUGUAAUGAUUAUUCAAAGUCAUAUUGUUAAACUGUGUCACACCCAAAACCAACAGCACACUGUAUACACUGUAUGUUAGCCAACUUUACAGUAAAUUAUAUUAAAAAAAAAUAGAAUACUUUAAGAAAUGAAAAAAAAAUUAAUAAAAUUAAUUUUAAGUGACCAAACAUCGUUUUCUGUGACACAAAUUGUCUUAUCUUUGUCUUUAAAAAUGUUGGUUUAGGGGCACCGGGAUGGCUCAGUUCAUUGGGUGGCUGACUACACCUUAGGUCAUGAUCUUGCUACAAGUUCGAGCCCUGCAUUGGGCUCGGUCCUGAGUGCUCAGAGCCUGGAGCCUGCUUCCAAUUCUGUGUCUCCCUCUCUCUCUGCCCCUUCCCUGCUUGCUCUUUAUCUCUGUCUCUCUGUCUCUCAAAAAUAAUAAACAAUAAAAAAAUUUUAAUGUUAUUUUAUAACAUAAAAUAUUAUACUUAUUACCAUAUUUGAUAGUUAUUUUCUUUGCCUGUCCACUUUGACAAAUUUAGGUUUGUAUCAGUCCAUAAUUUAUUCUUAGAAAUUGUCUAAAAAGAUAUGAGGGAUUUUUUUAAAAAUUGGGAUUAUAGUUCAAAAAGUGUUAUGAUAAAUAAAAAAGUAACUAGAAAAAUAUUUAUAUGCUAAGUGAAUUUGGGGAAAACUGCACACUAACUGAUUGAAAACAUUGAAUUAUAAAACAAGUAGGCUUUGGCUGGAUAACAUUGGUUUAAGUUUAUUAACUGUGAUUCUAAGAAAAAUCAGAAAAACUGUCUAUAUGAUACAAAUAUUUUCACUUUUCUUCUUGUUUAAUUAGAAGUUUCUUGGGUUAAUGUAAAAUGGGGAAAUCAGAUAAUAUGACUAUGAAUGGCUAAGUAGAAAUGUGGAUAUGGUGCUCUUUUAAAUUAUUAAAUCUCUAGAGAAGCACAUCAAUAUGAAAUAUAUGCUAAUGAUGAAGAAAACAACAUGCCAUAAAUAUACCAGUGAAUAUUUUAGGGAAAUGGCAUACUGUGGAAUAUAGAACUACACUGCCAUAGCUCCUUUAUCAGGGCAUUUGAGAAUCAAAGGGACAGGAGGUGAUGCCUCUAAUCUGUAUAAGAUCUCAAAGAGAAAUGUCUCAAGAUUCUUCUGUUUUAUUUUCCUUAAUCACUCACCACAGAAUAUUAUUCCAUAUACUUGGCAACAUUAAUAAGUCUUCUCUUCUGACCAGCAUAAUUAUCCCCACUGAUUCUGCUCUUUGAAAGGGCUCAAGAAGUGGAUGCUGGAUAGUGACCAAAGAAGGCUGUCUUUGGGAAGUAACCAACUCUACCAACUAGUGCUUAAUGAAGCUGAAGGGCUUAGCAUGGAUGCCGUUUACAUAGCUUCAUGCUUUCAACAAGGCCAAACCAAUAUUUUGCUUCAUGAACAAACUUCUGAAGUUGUAUACAAUAUUUUUGGAACCUUCUUUUUCUCCACUGAAGAACUCUGUAAGGUUCAUUUUUAAUACUUCUCCCCUGUCCUCCCCCCUACACACAAAAAAGUAAAACUACAGGAAGAAAAGAUUCUUAAUGCACUCACUGUAAGUUCUGAGUCCUCCCCUCUCACACACACUUUCACAUGUGUAUAGUUAUCCCCCAAGAUGCUUCAACAAUUGAGAUCAUUUUAGCAUGUUCUUCAAUUUUUCUGAACUCUUCACAAAAAUGUUUCUUGAUUAUUCUCAGUCUUUAGUAACAUAGUAGUCUAUAAAGUAUUAUGCAUCACAGUAUUGUAUAGAAUAGCAAUAUAACAAUAAAAGGAGAAUGUAAUAUGGAAUCAAAGAAUUGUUUAUAAAUUGUGACAUUUCCUCACAAAGAAUGCUAUGUAGCCAUUAAAUAUUUUUAAAUGCUCAAUUGCCAUUCCUUAUCUAUCAUUUCUAACAUGGGAUUUCACAGUAUGCUGAAAGUUAUAAACAGUAUAAAUACAUAUGGUCAUUUACUGUGAUUGUAUAUAAAUAUAUUUCUAUGCAUAGAUAAAGCCUUGGUAAAUAUGUAACAAAAGUAUUUACAGUGGUUAUUUCUGGACUGACUACUAGAUAAAUUUUUUUUCUUUCCCUAUUAGACUUUCCAAUAUGCCUGAAUUUUGUGCAAUAAUAUUACUUUUAUAAUACAAAGAAAACUACUUUUUAAAUGUUAACAUUAAAAUAUUUUAUUUUUUUAUUUUACUUCGAAAUAUAAUUUAUUG
Molecule: long non-coding RNA, 4861 nt
Organism: Felis catus (domestic cat)
Lineage: Eukaryota; Metazoa; Chordata; Mammalia; Carnivora; Felidae
Exons: 9
Source: RefSeq, a predicted model, not a curated record